RNAcentral lists this transfer RNA (82 nucleotides) under Fusarium oxysporum f. sp. vasinfectum. RNAcentral describes it as "tRNA-Gly". Lineage: Eukaryota; Fungi; Ascomycota; Sordariomycetes; Hypocreales; Nectriaceae. The record is from RNAcentral. RNAcentral also lists the same sequence under 1 other name.
UGCGUAAUCAGGGAAUCGAACCCUGGGCUCCCCGACGCUGCUCGAAUGGCAACGGAGAAUUUUACCACUAAACCAAUUACGC